Molecule: long non-coding RNA, 1310 nt
Organism: Orcinus orca (killer whale)
Lineage: Eukaryota; Metazoa; Chordata; Mammalia; Artiodactyla; Delphinidae
Exons: 3
Source: RefSeq, a predicted model, not a curated record
UGCUUUUUAAAUGGUUUGAAAAAUCACUGUAGAAGAGGAUGCAGUAAAUGGAGCAAAAGAGACUAGAAACCCUUUGUACAAGCCAAAGCCACUGAAAAGCCUGGGGACUGGGGUAGGGAAUUGGAGAGGUGAGUGUGACAGAGGUGAGUGGCCAAAGGGAGGCAUGUUCAGGAAAAGACCUUCGUUGGCUGUUUUGGUCUUCAUCCCAGUGUGUGUUCUGCGGGGAUGGGGAAGGACGAAGCCUGAGCCCCAUCAAGAAGGGCCCAAGGGGACUUCCCUGGUGGCACACUGGAUAAGAACCCGCCUGCCAAUACAGGGUACAUGGGCUCGAGCCCUGGUCCGGGAAGAUCCCACAUGCCGUGGAGCAACUAAGCCCGUGCACCACAACUACUGAGCCUGCACUCUAGAGCCCACAAGCCACAACUACUGAGCCCACAUGCCACAACUACUAAAGCCCGCGUGCCUAGAGCCCGUGCUCUGCAACAAGAGAAGCCACCGCGAUGAGAAACCCGCGCACUGCAACGAAAAGCAGCCCCUGCUCGCUGCAACUAGAGAAAGCCCGCGCGCAGCAACAAAGACCCAAUGCAGCCAUAAAUAAAUAAAUAAGUAAAUUUAUGGAAAGAAACAAAAAAAAGAAGGGCCCAGGGAAUCAGAUUUCCUGCUGUUCCUUCCUGGACAAAGCUUACUGCUCUCCAUGGCUCUUCAGGAAUCCAAGGAGCCUGAUGUCUAUCAGAAGAAUUUUGAACCCACGUCCUACCUGGACUACUUCAAGGUGAACCAGGAUCCCCUGGGUGAUGAAGUCCUCCAUUUCCUGCUAAAGCACUACAAUAUCACUUUUAAACCAGGUGGGCUGGAAGGAAAACUCCUGGUUGAUCUCAGCUCUGGGCCCACCAUCUACAAGCUCCUCUCUGCCUGCGAGUCUUUCAAAGAGAUCAUUGCCAUCAGCUACCCAGACAGAACUGCCAACAGCUGGAGAAGUGGCUAAAGAAGACGCCAGGGGCGUUUGACUGGUCUCGGUGGUGAAAUAUGUGCGUGAGCUUGAGGGGAACAGGGGCACCAGGAUUUUCUCUGGCCCAAGGAAUGUGACUGCAUCUGUGCGUGGUACUACAAACCUCCUGUGCCAUUCUCUGAGGGCUCUCUCUUCCCUCCCCUGCUGGCUGCAUGCAGAGAAUCCAGCGGAGGACCCUGAGGCCCUAGGAAAUGACAGAGCUACACAGUAGAAGCCUGACCAUCUGGAGUAGUACUCUGCCCUUGACCCCCACUACACUGGACCGUGAUGUGAACCAAAAAUAAACAUUUGUUUUGUUAAG